Psammomys obesus (fat sand rat) is the source of this 586-nucleotide long non-coding RNA. RefSeq lists it as uncharacterized. The transcript is spliced from 3 exons. NCBI's taxonomy places the organism in Eukaryota, Metazoa, Chordata, Mammalia, Rodentia, Muridae. The record is from RefSeq and is a predicted model, not a curated record.
UAAUAAAGAUCACUAGGAGGCUGGAGGCUACCUGAAACUGUCAGGAGACACAGGGAGACUACUACCAGGCAGAGCUGGAGGCAGCGAGAUCCUCCAUGGGGGUUCCUGAACAGUGACUGCCGAAGCAAAGCAUAUCUCUCCUGGAGGAGGGAGAAGCCUAGGACAAAACAAAUGUUUCUUGUGGUUUUAUGAACAUCCUGGAUCACCACUGUCCGUUCAUGAAAUUCAUAAUGAAGAGGCAUACGAUUGUUAAACCCACAUGGCGGAAGCAUGUAUGGAACAGAAGGAUGGAUGAUUGGCAUUACACAGGAUCUAGAAUUAUGCAAGUUUCCGGGUCUGUCUGCAAGGGAGAGUCUCGAUUAUGUUAGUUGAAAUGGGAAGAUCCACCCACACGGAUGGCGCUACAGGCUGGAGUGGAGGCUGCAUAAAAAGAAAAGAGCGAGCUGAGCUUCCGAGUCUGUUUCUCUCUGCUUCCCGGUUACAGAUCCUGUGUGACCGGCCGCUCCAGGCGCUUGCUGCCUUGACCUCCCUACCCUGACCGUCUGUACCUAACACUGCGGGUGAAGAUAAACCUUUCUUGAGUUGU